RNAcentral lists this long non-coding RNA (2309 nucleotides) under Rattus norvegicus (Norway rat). Its description in RNAcentral is "long non-coding RNA NONRATT024526". The record is from RNAcentral. Lineage: Eukaryota; Metazoa; Chordata; Mammalia; Rodentia; Muridae.
GGGGACCGUGUCCCACCAAAGAGAGCAUAUCCCAUUAAAAGUGGGAUGCUACCAUUGUACUGUUCCACAGUGCAGGCCCUAAGGGGUGUUGGCUUUUUCUCUCUCUUUAGGACAGGGCUCUGAAUUAAUACAUUGUAAUUUUUAAGUUAUCAGUUCAAGAAAUGAUCACCAGAGCUGAGAGAGUACCAGUCUGCAAUCUCCAGGGUAGAGAGCACAGGCUGGUUGCGGGAAGACUCCUGCUGUACUGUGGGUGGAAAAUGUGAAAGUUUAAAUUUUCCCAAAGGCAGAAAGGGCCACUUCCUGUGUCUCCCUCCUGGCCCCAUCCUGCAUGCAGAGGCCGUGUUUGUGCUUACUGGGUCACUGGAGCGGGUAGAGUGGGAUAGAAUUGUGAAACUCUUGCCUGCCCUGAAAUGGAUGGUGGCUGGAAUGAGGAGGGGGAGGGAUGCCCUCGCUGGUGACAUGUGUGGUUGCUCAUCAACAUCCAUAGCCCUGGGCCCAGAGCCAGGCCCACUGGGGCCCACACAGACACCAUGGGAGGCUGGUUGUUCAUCAGUCCCUUGUUUUGCUUGGUUCCUCCUGGGGUCAGGGGGCCCUUGAAAAGUGUAUAGCCUUCUCCUAGGCUACACCCCUGGCCAGACCCAUGGAAGGGACGUGACACUAUUUGAUCCAUCUCAGAGUUCAGGGAGUAGGGAUGGUGGUCCCAGUAGCUCCCACACUUGUACCUUGAGAGGAGGUGCAAGACUGGACAAGAUCUUUUUUAGAUCUGAAUGCAGUUGCUUCUCCUUGGGACAGCAACCCUAUAUGUCUCUGGGAACUCCAAGAUAUGACAAGAUAUGGGAGAAAGGUGUGAGGAGAGCUGGAGUCAGGUGUAUUUAGAGAGCAGCUCCAGGUCCCAGAGCCUUAGGACAGGAGCUCUGAGCUCCAGUUCCUUUGAGGCCCAGGAAAGAAGCAGGUGGAGCCCUGACGUGUUCAGGAUAUUAGGGAGCAGCUGAUGGCCAGGGGUACACACACCCCUGCUGUUCACCUCUCCCAAGCUAAGGGCCUCCGGCCUGGAGACUGUCAUAGGCUGCCAUAGGCCACAGUGGUGCUUUGUUUUUUUAAUUUUUUUACUCUUUCUCAUAUGUAGCAAGCCACCCUUCCCUCUGCGGCCACUUAGGCAGGCUGUGCUCUCUGGGGCUGGCCUGGCUGUCUAGUUUCCGGGGAGGCAGAGGCAGGGACUUUGAGGCCUUAGUCACCAUCCAUGACAUCACCUCAUCUCACUUCCUGUAAGACAGGGAUCUGGCAGAUGUCCCCAGACCUCCUGACUCAGGCCUGCCUUUCAGCUUUUCUACCCCACUCUUGGGGGCUGCUGGCUGAAGAGGGUCAAGGUGAGGUCAGAGGAAGCUGGAUGGUGGAGGUGGCAUGGGCAGAGGUUCCUUGUGCUUGGUGUUGGGUCAAAAUGCUGGGAAGCUGGCUUUGGAGAUCCUUCCUCACCAUCCAGCUACCUGCCAGUCCUUUCCCCGCCAUAGCCUCCUAUUUUCAUGCUCGCCCCAAUCCCUCACACUAGCCACUCAUCCUUAGUGGGCAUGGCCAAGUGGGCGGAACAGCAGCCUGAUGGCCCCAGACUUGAUGAUGAAGCCUAGAGAGGUACUGAGGAGCAGACUCAGGAAACUGACCGUGGCUGAUGUCUAGUCCAGUCAUAUCAUGCCCUGACCCCUUUCCUCCUGGAAGACGUCCUGGCUCGGGGGAGUAGGUCUCAUGAUAGCUGUGCAGGUUUUGUGCACUGAGGUCCGUGGGCUAUACCCCUGGCUUUCCUGCCUGGAAUGAGUUUGGGCUUAACGUAUCACCGCCCCACCCUGACGUGCUGUCAGUGGUGUUAGAGUGUAAAGACCUGCAGGUGGGGACCCACAAGCUAGAGGUGGGAAGGACAAGGAUCUUCUCUGAAGGAGUGUAAGUGGGAGUUGAGGGUUCACCCUACCGGGUAUCACAGCCUCCCACCAGCAUCUCCAGCAAGGCGGGUGGGGCCGCCACCGGACUAGCUUCAAGUCCUGUUCACUCCAGUUCGGUGCUUUGGGAUCCCAAGCUUCCUUGUUAAUUUAAGUCUGAAAAGAAAUCUGGGUACAUUUGACCCCUGUGCCAGUGAUGGACAUCCAUCCCCUGUGCUUUGUUGGGCUCCUGUGUUGUCCCUGAUGCCAUUUUUCUGUCCUCACAUCAGUAUUAACUCCUGCCUUUCAGUGUACACUUUGUCUCAUUCCUUUCUCACCUUCCCCUGAAAUGAAUAAAGUCUCCCAGCUCCCGUCGUUGUGUGGGCUGGCAGAAAUCACAUGAAA